This 570-nucleotide ribosomal RNA is filed under the name Variovorax sp. BvORHM081. RNAcentral's name for it is "bacterial SSU rRNA". It matches the Rfam family "Bacterial small subunit ribosomal RNA", at positions 102 to 668 of the family's 1533-position model. The record is from RNAcentral. Lineage: Bacteria; Pseudomonadati; Pseudomonadota; Betaproteobacteria; Burkholderiales; Comamonadaceae.
ACGGGUGAGUAAUACAUCGGAACGUGCCCAAUCGUGGGGGAUAACGCAGCGAAAGCUGUGCUAAUACCGCAUACGAUCUACGGAUGAAAGCAGGGGAUCGCAAGACCUUGCGCGAAUGGAGCGGCCGAUGGCAGAUUAGGUAGUUGGUGAGGUAAAGGCUCACCAAGCCUUCGAUCUGUAGCUGGUCUGAGAGGACGACCAGCCACACUGGGACUGAGACACGGCCCAGACUCCUACGGGAGGCAGCAGUGGGGAAUUUUGGACAAUGGGCGAAAGCCUGAUCCAGCCAUGCCGCGUGCAGGAUGAAGGCCUUCGGGUUGUAAACUGCUUUUGUACGGAACGAAACGGCCUUUUCUAAUAAAGAGGGCUAAUGACGGUACCGUAAGAAUAAGCACCGGCUAACUACGUGCCAGCAGCCGCGGUAAUACGUAGGGUGCAAGCGUUAAUCGGAAUUACUGGGCGUAAAGCGUGCGCAGGCGGUUAUGUAAGACAGUUGUGAAAUCCCCGGGCUCAACCUGGGAACUGCAUCUGUGACUGCAUAGCUAGAGUACGGUAGAGGGGGAUGGAAUU